RNAcentral lists this ribosomal RNA (497 nucleotides) under uncultured bacterium. RNAcentral describes it as "partial 16S ribosomal RNA". It matches the Rfam family "Bacterial small subunit ribosomal RNA", at positions 28 to 507 of the family's 1533-position model. The record is from RNAcentral.
GAUGAACGCUGGCGGCGUGCCUAAUACAUGCAAGUCGAGCGAACAGACGAGGAGCUUGCUCCUCUGACGUUAGCGGCGGACGGGUGAGUAACACGUGGAUAACCUACCUAUAAGACUGGGAUAACUUCGGGAAACCGGAGCUAAUACCGGAUAAUAUAUUGAACCGCAUGGUUCAAUAGUGAAAGACGGUUUUGCUGUCACUUAUAGCUGGAUCCGCGCCGCAUUAGCUAGUUGGUAAGGUAACGGCUUACCAAGGCGACGAUGCGUAGCCGACCUGAGAGGGUGAUCGGCCACAUUGGAACUGAGACACGGUCCAGACUCCUACGGGAGGCAGCAGUAGGGAAUCUUCCGCAAUGGGCGAAAGCCUGACGGAGCAACGCCGCGUGAGUGAUGAAGGUCUUCGGAUCGUAAAACUCUGUUAUUAGGGAAGAACAAAUGUGUAAGUAACUAUGCACGUCUUGACGGUACCUAAUCAGAAAGCCACGGCUAACUACGUG